CCUACGGGCGGCAGCAGUGAGGAAUAUUGGUCAAUGGACGAGAGUCUGAACCAGCCAAGUAGCGUGAAGGAUGACUGCCCUAUGGGUUGUAAACUUCUUUUAUAUGGGAAUAAAAUGUUCCACGUGUGGGAUUUUGUAUGUACCAUAUGAAUAAGGAUCGGCUAACUCCGUGCCAGCAGCCGCGGUAAUACGGAGGAUCCGAGCGUUAUCCGGAUUUAUUGGGUUUAAGGGGAGCGUAGGUGGAUUGUUAAGUCAGUUGUGAAAGUUUGCGGCUCAACCGUAAAAUUGCAGUUGAAACUGGCAGUCUUGAGUACAGUAGAGGUGGGCGGAAUUCGUGGUGUAGCGGUGAAAUGCUUAGAUAUCACGAAGAACUCCGAUUGCGAAGGCAGUUCACUGGACUGCAACUGACACUGAGGCUCGAAAGUGUGGGUAUCAAACAGGAUUAGAUACCCCGAUAGUC
RNAcentral lists this ribosomal RNA (460 nucleotides) under uncultured bacterium. RNAcentral describes it as "partial 16S ribosomal RNA". It matches the Rfam family "Bacterial small subunit ribosomal RNA", at positions 338 to 795 of the family's 1533-position model. The record is from RNAcentral.